RNAcentral lists this transfer RNA (81 nucleotides) under Pyricularia oryzae 70-15. Its description in RNAcentral is "tRNA-Ser (TGA) (tRNA-Ser-TGA-1-1, tRNA-Ser-TGA-1-2)". It matches the Rfam family "tRNA". Rfam says of the family: Transfer RNA (tRNA) molecules are approximately 80 nucleotides in length. RNAcentral also lists the same sequence under 4 other names. The record is from RNAcentral. Lineage: Eukaryota; Fungi; Ascomycota; Sordariomycetes; Magnaporthales; Pyriculariaceae.
GGCAGCUUGCCAGAGUGGUUAAUGGGUAAGACUUGAAAUCUUAUGACUUCGGUCGCGCAGGUUCGAACCCUGCAGCUGUCG